Molecule: ribosomal RNA, 250 nt
Filed under: uncultured bacterium
Lineage: Bacteria
Description: partial 16S ribosomal RNA
Rfam family: Bacterial small subunit ribosomal RNA
Source: RNAcentral
UACAGAGGUCCCAAGCGUUGUUCGGAUUCACUGGGCGUAAAGGGUGCGUAGGUGGCUUGGUAAGUUUGAUGUGAAAUCUCCGGGCUUAACCCGGAAACUGCAUUGAAUACUAUUUGAGCUGGAGGUUUGGAGGGGGGACUGGAAUUCUUGGUGUAGCAGUGAAAUGCGUAGAUAUCAAGAGGAACACCAGUGGCGAAGGCGAGUCCCUGGACAACACCUGACACUGAGGCACGAAAGCUAGGGGAGCAAA